Molecule: ribosomal RNA, 461 nt
Filed under: uncultured bacterium
Lineage: Bacteria
Description: partial 16S ribosomal RNA
Rfam family: Bacterial small subunit ribosomal RNA
Source: RNAcentral
CCUACGGGAGGCAGCAGUGAGGAAUAUUGGUCAAUGGGCGCAAGCCUGAACCAGCCAAGUCGCGUGAGGGAUGACGGUCCUAUGGAUUGUAAACCUCUUUUGUCGGGGAGCAAGGCCCGCCACGUGUGGCGGGAAGGAGAGUACCCGAAGAAAAAGCAUCGGCUAACUCCGUGCCAGCAGCCGCGGUAAUACGGAGUAUGCGAGCGUUAUCCGGAUUUAUUGGGUGUAAAGGGGGCACAGACGGCAAUGCAAGCCAGGAGUGAAAGCCCGGGGCCACACCCCGGGACUGCUCUUGGAACUGCAUGGCUGGAGUACAGGAGGGGCAGGCGGAAUUCCUAGUGUAGCGGUGAAAUGCGUAGAUAUUAGGAGGAACACCGGUGGCGAAGGCGGCCUGCUGGACUGUGACUGACGUUGAGGCCCGAAGGCGUGGGGAGCAAACAGGAUUAGAUACCCCAGUAGUC